UUUUUUUUUUUUUUUGUUGCUAUAUACAUACAUAUAUUAUGUACAUACACACCAUAUUAUCAUAACUUCAUUUUCUUUUCUUUUCUCCUUCUUUUUUUUUUUUUUUUUUUUUUUUUUUUAAAUAAAUAUAUAUAUAUAUAUAUAUUUUUUUUCUUUUUCUGCACACGGUGCCAGACGCACCAUGAAACCCUUUUUUUUUAUUUUUUGUAUUAUUUUCUGUUUCUUUAGUUGGUGCCCAUGCACCAUUCCCUUUUUUCACGUGGUGCCAGAUGCACCACCACCUUUUUUUUUUUUUUUUUUUUUUUUUUUUUUAUAAAUUUGGGUGAUGGGUAGAGGAACUUGCAGGGAGCGGACGAAGAGUUGGAGUUUGAGGAAGCGCUUCUCGGCCGGCUAGUCGUUUGACAGCGGUCUUUGAAGUUGUUGGCAGCUGCGAGGCAAGAGACGGAGGAGGUGGAGGUGAUUUUGACGUCGGAUCCAGCUAGAACCCAGAGCAUAGCCACUGAGCCCAACCACCGAACACAGCCGCCGCACACCCGUUGCAUUGCUACUGAGCACAGCCAUUGCGCAUCCGUUGCACUGCCACCGAGCACCGCCACUGAUCGAGCACAGCCACAGAGCACCGCUACUGAGCACAGGCACAUAGCACAGCCCACUCAUCCCUCGGCAGAGAUCCAAAGUAAGAAGAAAUUUCCAAAAACUGAGGAAAGUUCAUGUUCCUGUCCCAGCGAUGAUCCUUGUGCCAUGGGACCUGGUCCAGGCCGUAUAGGUUAGAUGGAGAGAAGGCAGGGAGGAGCCUGGUGGAUUUCAGAGUCGAGAUCGAAUUCAGACGGAGAAUGAGAGACUGAGACGACGAGAUCGAAGUCCUGAACGAAGUUCUAAACCCUGACCCAGAACCUGCAUACCGAUGAUGAUGAACCAGAACCUAAUUCCCAAAACCAAACAACCAGAACCCACAUCCUGCAGUAGAGACCAAUGUCGAGGAGCAGUCUGGGGACGCCAUCGUCGGGGAGAGGCUGUUUAAGGCACGAAGGGAAGGUAAUUUUGCUACUGUACGAAGGAGACCGCGCGAUCUCCUUGGUGAUAUCCCUUCACCGCUUGCAGACACAGGCACAAGCGACGACGUUUUUUACGGUGAGGCCCCUUGUCCUCGCUGGCCUCCACUCUCCGUAUGAUCUCACCGAGCAGCUCCGGGAGCAUAUCCGACCACGAAGACGACAACAGCGACGAAGAUGAGUCAGCACAGUUCGAGUCACGGACGACUCGGCGGUCGCCCCCACGGGCCUGAUCCUCGUCGCUGAGCUUCAAUUCCCUGAACGAUUUGGAGAAUUUCCAGGAGCGAAAGGCUUUCCGCAGCGACAUGGGUUCAGAUUUGGGGCUUUAGGGUUCCUGAUUCUUUGGAUUGUGUGCAUCUUCCAUCCAGCAGCUGCCAACCCUCCAUGAUGAUACUCACUGAUUGUUUCAUCAACAAGUAUUACAAGAUCUCGUGUUGAACCAGACAUACGGAUGCUCUGAGCUGCAGCAAUGGCUCCACAUGGGCAGAAUGUAGGAUUGUUGCAUAUGCUUCUCUGUGGGCUCUUUCCGAGUAAAAGCUUUCUUUAGCCGUGAGAGGAGUUUGAGAGUGGAGAAAGCAUGAGAAUGGGCUGUGACCCAUGGCAGAAACUCGUUGACGCAAACACAAAACUUCACUCCAUCUUGAACUGGUGUCUUCGGAUAAAAAAAAAAUGCCCAAUUCAAACCAAAAUGCCUCCAGUCCUGCCAAUGCAAGCCUUUUGUUCCUGAGGAGUUGGCCUGCCCCAGCUUAAGAAAAUCAUGCCUUGGUUGCGGUUGCGUCCAAGUCUGAAAUAUUAGUCGAAAUCUGAGGUAGUAGAUCACAAUUUCAGGGGCGGGAGAUUUGCCGAAAGACGGUUCCAGCCAGGACAGAGGUUUGACUCAGAGCGUUCAUCUCGGAGAUUGAAUCAAGAUGGUUACUCUGAACCCGUGAUGCGUCCUGAUGGAAGAUAUGAGAUUGUUCAUCGCGUGAGGCGUUUUGAUUCAGAUGGUGGUGUGCGUCAGUACCGUUAUGAUAAAGAUUGUUUUGCAUCUCACAACACGCAGAACUACGAUGAAUCUGACCAUAAGGCGGCCGAGAGUCCGGGAGAGCGAGAUUGGGCCUGGGUCGCAUUUCUUGUUGGGUGUCUUGAGCAAUCCCCUGCUUGCAGAUCUUCGCACACAUACUGGUCCGAUUCGAGUAGGGUCUUGAUGUCCGUUUUGUCUCGGGCCUUGAGGUCCACUUGUUGGGCUUGGGCCUUUGACGCCAUAGCCCGGAUGCAGACGUAACAAAACGACGCCGCCGCCGUUGAUCUCGACGACACCGCAGAAGCUAUGGCUCUCCGUAUCAACCUCGUCGCCAUUGUUGCGUCUCUGAGCUUUGACAACAUAUGUAGCAGCAACCAUUAAAAGGCUUCUCUGCUCAUUAACCAUCUGUUUUUUAGCCCUUCUGACGACAAUACCACAACCUAAUCUCAUCGAUGGCAGAAGGCAGAAAGGAGGUAGAAGACGAAGACUCCUUCUGUUUGAAAAGUAACUCACAGUUUUGGGCCGUUGAGUGCUUGUUGGGCUCACGGUCAUCCUCAAUAAUGCAGCCCACCAUUAUAUAUAUAUUUUUUUAUAAUACAUUAAUAACAUGUUUUUUUUUUUUUUUUUUUUUUUUUUUGUACAAAGAAAUUGUAAUAGCAUCAAAACUUUUAAUUAAAUCUUUAUUCCCUAUUUUGGUGUGACUGAACUCGAAAUUGAAUGCUCGAGCUGCCUACGUACCCUUCCAAAAAAGAGAUCAAGUCGUAACGUAGUUCAAAUACAUUUUUUUUUUUGUACUUUCUUUUGGUGUCGUUUGCAGUUUCAACUCGUGCAGACAAGGAGCUUUUGGUGCCGUGUUGCAGUUUCAGCUCGUGCAGGCAAUGAGCGUUUGGUGUCGUUUGCAGUUUCAACUCGUGCAGACAAGGAGCUUUUGGUGCCGUGUUGCAGUUUCAGCUCGUGCAGGCAAGGAGCGUUUGGUGUCGUUUGCAGUUUCAACUCGUGCAGACAAGGAGCAUUUGGUGUUGCCUUUUAUGCUUGUGCAGACCAGGAGCUUCGUGCCAUGCAGUUUAGACUCGUGUAGGCGAGGAGCCUUGGUUCGUGCAGUUUAGGCUCGUGCGAACAAGGAGCAUUGGUGUUGCCUUUUAUGCUCGUGCAGACCAGGAGCUUUGUGCCAUGCAGUUUAGACUCGUGCGGGCAAGGAGAAUUUGUGAAUUUUGUCAAGCAAUCCGGGAGAGGCGUUCCUCACAAUUUUCAUAGCAAGGAGCUUUGACCGCGUGAUUGAAAAAGUCUUCGGGCAGGAAAUCGCGCAUCGUGAUGGGGAUGGACGAUCUAUGUGUCGAAAUUUCAUCAUCUUCAACAAGUUCACGUUGCUUUGAAGGUUGACAAUAGCUGCUUUGCCCCCUUUCCGAUUGGCGGACUUGUGAAGGAGACGUAUGCUUCUUGUGCAAUUUCUUAGGAGUGACUUGAGUCCAUCCUUCAACUUUGCUUGUCUUUGAGGAUGCCCCCAGCGGUUGAGGUGAAAACUUUGAGUUGGAAGAGCCAAAAGUGAAGGUGGUAUAGUUUGACUUCGCCACUUCGUCAAGAUCUAGCUCGAUGAUUCCUUUAUGAGCCAGCUUCAUGAUGAGAUCUUUCAGCACGAAACAUUUUUCUGUCGGAUGACUGAUGAAGCGGUGGAAUUUACAGUACCUUGGAUUGUCGGUGCGAUUCAUCUCUUCCGGCCGUCUGCACUCAGGCAAACUGAUCACCUUCUUGUCCAACAGGUCAUCUAGCAUGGCAACCACAUCAGAGUCGGGGAAUGGAUAAGUCUUCUCCUCAAGCUCCUUCAAAGUGCGUCUACGCGUCUCUUGAUCACGAAAAGCUUCGGUUUGAAUCGCCUUGCCUCGUGUGGAUAUUUUGACAGGAGAUGUGUUGAUCAUCAUCGCUUCCUUGGUGGGUUUCCAAGCAGCCUUCUCCACCUUUGUCUCAAGAACUUUGUCGUUCUUGUAGUCGGCGAUCGGUUCCUUCUUCCCAUGAUGGGCGAUGCUCAACUCCAUGUCAUGGGCGCGGGUGGCUAGCUCUUCGAAGGUCCGUGGUUUGAUGCCUUGAAGGAUGUAUUGCAAACCCCAUUGCAUGCCUUGGAUGCACAUCUCGAUUGAAGAGGUUUCCGAGAGCCUGUCUUUACAGUCGAGGCUUAGAGUGCGCCACCUGUUGAUGUAGUCAAUGACUGGCUCGUCCUUCCACUGCUUUGUGCUCGUUAGCUCUAGCAUGCUCACAGUGCGGCGGGUGCUGUAAAAGCGGUUGAGGAAUUCCCUUUCCAACUGUUCCCAGCUGUUGAUGGACUCAGGCUCUAGGUCCGUGUACCACUCAAAGGCGUUUCCUUUCAGCGAGCGCACAAACUGCUUGGCGAGGUAGUGUCCUUCGGUUCCUGCGUUGUUGCAAGUUUCAACGAAGUGGGCAACGUGCUGUUUUGGGUUUCCCUUUCCAUCAAAUUGCAUGAACUUUGGUGGUUGAUAACCCCUUGGCAUCCUUAGGGCAUCAAUCUUCUUGGAAUAGGGCUUCGAGUAGAACAAUGAGGUAUGUGAGCUCCCUUCGUACUGUGUCUUGAUGGUAUUGGUGAUCAUCUCCUGUAGCUGCUGGAUAGAAAGAGAUCCCAUGAGUGCCGCUGCUUGGUCUGGCUCCGGCUUCCCAUCGAUUUUCUUCACCGGGGGUUCUUCGUCUCCGCCAGCUCCUCCCUUUAGUGGAUCAUCCUCUGGGUCGGGUUUAUCGCCAUCCUGCGCUUCCAGUCGGUUGACUAGUGCUGCAAUUUGCAAGUCUUUUUCUUCCACAGUUCGGGUUAGCCUUGCGAUUGCUUCAUUCAUUUGAGCCAGCUGCUCAUCGAUUGAAGUUGCUCCAAUGGUCAUGACUUGCAUGGCUGAACUAUCGCUUGAAUCGGCAUCGGAGAGCAUGGAUUCAGAGUAUUUCCUUGGGCUUUCCCCCCUUGGUGCCCUUAGUGAGGCUAAGGUGAUCAAAGGCUCGUGCCUUGGGUGCUUUUGUUCCCUUGGCAGAGUUGAUGCAGAGGUGAAAGAGGCGGCAGAAGUAGCUCUUGCCAUGCUUCGAGUCAUGAUGCCCAAAGUGACACCAGUUGCGACGAGGACGCUUUUGUUCUUUGCGCCGGUUGCGGGAACAGUUUGAGCCUUCCUUGAUGCCAUUAAUUUUGGAAGUGCGCUUGAAUUUCUUGAACGGAGAAAGAGAUGAGAGGUAGAGAUUGUCCCACUGGUCGUGCCAAUUUGUGAACACGGAAAAUUCCUGAAACGAAAGAGACAAGAAACGACGUGCACAAACAAAUAUUUGUAUUUUUGAUUUUGGGUUACAAUCUCUCUCUAUUUUGAUCCUCUGAUUCGAUCUCCGUAAGGUGUGUAUUUGUGGAUGUGUGAUUGAUCCAAAUGGCCGUUGGGCUUGAUCUAAGGAUGAACGUUCUUCAAGGGCCGUGGACUUGAUCUUGAAGGUGGAUUUGAGCGGAUCUUCAAAGGGGCUUUUGGGCUUGAUCUUUGAAGAACAGUGAUGAACGGAUCUCCAAGGGCUUUUGGGCUUGAUCUUGAAGAACAGUGAUGAACGGAUCUUCAAGGGCUUUUGGGCUUGAUCUUGAAGAAACGGUUGGAUGUGUGGAUUUGUCGACGUUGUUGAUCCAAAGGGCCGUUGGGGCUUGAUCUUGAUUUGGUGGAUGAUUGUUGAUCCAAAUGGCCGUUGGGGCUUGAUCUUGGAUGAACUAUGAACGAGGAACGAAGAACACUUUCUUCAAGGGCCGUCGGGGCUUGAUCUUGAAUUGGUGGAUGAUUGUUGAUCCAAAGGCCGUCGGGGCUUGAUCUUGGAAGAACGAUGAACGAAGAACGAAGAAGGCUUUCUUGAUUCUUCGGGAACCUAGAUGCUUAAGAGCUUCGGAGUUUCAGAGCUUCAGAGCUUCAGAGCUUCAAGGUGUAAUAUGAAUUCGUUCCUUGUAAAUGAAUGAAAUGGGCUUGUAUUUAUAGAAUUUUCCAAGGCCUAACUUUGAAUAUAAUAUCCCAGAUGAAAUAAGUCGUUUCUGCUAGGUGUUGACACGUGUCCUGUUUGAUGACUUUUCCAACUUAUUUUGAUUUUUUGUUUAGACACACGCUACGUGUAAAAUUUAUGUAAUACAUGAGCGUUGAAACUUUGAUUUAUCGGUCAACAUUUAUUUACCGAAAUUUCGAUGUCUACAAUAGGUUGGCAGUUGAAUUUUAUAAUUAAGGAAUUAAAAAGAUCCCAACACAAAUCCGAACUCUAAAAUCCCAAAUCCCACUCCCAUCCAAACAGGUCCACAAUUCCUUCACCCAAAUGUUCAUACAUUCAUCAAAUUACUCCCACCUAAAGAUUUAGUCUCUAAUCAAAUCCUAUUAUUCAUGCUAUUGCUAUUGAUCCUCCGCAUCAACAAAAAUAAAAUUCGGAGAAGUAGACUUACAGUAGCCGGCGAAGUAACGGAUGUCGUCGAGGUCGGAGGAUGGCUGGAUGGGUGGUGGUGGUGCCGUUGUGUUGGUUGUGGCAGUGGUGAUGGGCGUUCUCUGGGAUGUCGAAGUCGAGGGAGUCAAGGGAGUGACGGAUGGUGGAGAGGUGGGAGUGAAAGAGUGAGACUGAAACUGAUUCUGGAAACCUAGUUUAGAAGGUAACAGUUCAGAUUGGAUGAUAGGUUAUCAUUCAAUCUUGACCGUUGAUUAUAAUUAAAAACGGGUCGGUCCGGGGCCCUGUUUUUCUAAGGUUUAGAAACCAACCCGCCCCGUAAAUAACAAUGGCCCGGCCUGGCCCGUCCCAUUUGUUCCAAAAAAAAAUAGGACUCGGCCUAUACCCGUCCCAAACCUACAUUACCCGUCCCGACCCGCAGUUCCUUUACCCGUUUGCCCACCCCUGGUGGCAAUGGCUUUAAACCAUUUUUAAGUGAGUGUAGUGUGUAAUAUAUACAUUAUUUUUAUUAGUGGUGCUAUUUAUGCAUUUAUUUUUAUUUCUUAUAAGUUUUUUUUUAAUUAUUAACCAUCGAAUUAAAUGAAUUAAAGAAGAUCAAUAGCGAAAAACUAACAAAGUUGUGUGGGAAGUAAAAAUGAGUGUAUGAAUAACACUUUCCUUGAUAAAACCCUAAAGACAAUUUGGUCCGCUUCACAAAAUGAAAUUAUCAGUAGCAUACAAACCAAAUUUUGCUGUUUUUUUUUUUUUUUUUUUUUUUGUAGGCUUGAUCAUCAAGUUUCUCAAUUAAUUUCAUUUGUAAUCGGUUUGUGCUUUUUUGUAGGCUGAAGCCGUAGCUGAGGAGCUAUGUGAAUCAGUGGCAGCUAGUCUUGACGGUAAAAAGUUGCCAUGGUUCACGGCAAUAUCUUCUGCUGUGCAGGCAGCAAUGGAAGAAGCACUUGUUCGUAUUUUAACUCCUACUGUGGACUCUUCUCCUAUACUGAACCCGCGGAAGAAUCUGCCCAGGAAACCAUGUGUUUUCGCUUACAUUGACACCACAGGAGAUUGGAAAGCAACCAGUUCGGUUAAGGUAAUUAAGCUGAUUAAUUUAAUUCUUGUGCUUAAGUCAAGCAGGCCUCUAAUUUUACUAAAUGGUUCUGCUUAAUCAUAUAUUGUGAUCAAUUUGCUGCAGGCUGCUUGUCGGCUCCAGAAGGAACGGAAGAACAGCGUUAUUAUGGUGGCCGACCGUGAUACAUUCCGGUCAGACACUGUUAUGCAGUUGCGUAGAGAUGCAUGGAAACUCCAGGUACUGAACUAUACAGAUAGUUUCAAUUUAUAGGAUUCACGUUCACUUAAGAAGAUUAAAUUUUACAGAUGUGAGAUAGGUCAGUUUGUCAGGUAGUGUUCCGCCCCUGCAUCUAAGUUCGAACACCCUUACUUGUAAAUUCGAGUCGAUUAUUACUUACUGUCUCAGCCUGAUAAUUAACUUCCGAUUAUUAAGAAACCAAUUUUGCUCCAUGUCAGCGGAUUCCUAUUUUCGAGAUGCGGCAUGAGAAGGAUCCCACAAUUACCAUAAAGAAAGCAGUCCAGGAGGCCAGAGACGAUGGUUCGGAUGUGGUUGCUCAUGCAGCCAGUCCAAAGCAGGUAUAUCGCUUUUCCGAGUUUCUUCUUUUGCAUUACUGAUGAACUGCUAAACGGGUCGUGUUUGUCAUGUUCGUUCAUUUUUGUGUUAAAUACGUUAUCUUAAAAGAUUCUUAACAGGCGAUCAAAUAAUGACUUGAUUUGUUAAUGUGGUUUCGUGUUAAGUUAACGAGUCAUGCAAGAAAUUGUCAUACCUAAUGUCUUAUCGGUUAUUAACUAAUAACGACAUGACUGAUUAACUAAUUAUUAAUGGGUAACUUGAUAAUGACUUAACUCGUUAACAGAUUGACCCAACACAUGUAAUUUUCGUAUUGUAUCACUUCGUGUCGGUUUAAAGAAUGGUGUAAAAAAUUGUCAAGUCCUAUGAUUAUGCAUUGUGUGAAUUAAUGACUGAAUUUGACCAUGCCUUGGGUAGGCGGCAACUGUGCUGGCGACGGCGUACUUAUCCGGAGCUAAGGUCAUUUUACGUGGCGUUGGGAAGCCGUACACAGGAGAGAAGCACACAACCAGAAAGCUUGUCAAGAAACUCUUCAAAUGACACUCAACUGUGCUGGCUUCUUAAUUUCGUUAUAAUCACAGCAUAUAUGCUGUUAAUUAAUUUGUUUGUUGAUUAUGUAAUCUAGUAUCGUUAUCGUGUAUUUUCGAAACUUGAACGUGAAUUGAUGAAGUUGUUUUGGCACUAGUUUAAUGUCAAAUCUAAUUAAUUCUCUUUUGUUCUAGAGCUUCUCUUUCUCUACUGUAAUUAACUGAUGUAGAACAAAUGAUUGAGUGAAUUGAAGGCAAAAUGGACUGAAGAAAGACAAACUACAAUAAGUAAAAAAUAAUAAUAAAUGUUAGAGAGGUGGUACAAAUGGAAUUGAGAUUCUUUUCAGAUCUCAGGGUCUGAAGUCGACGGAUCAAAUAAUCUAGAUCACAUUUCAAAUCUUACAACUCUCACUAGUCUUUUUCAUUUGCUCACCUCACAAAAUUCAAGGGUUUGGAUCUUUCUCCGUCUUUUGAACAAUCUAGAUUACACAGUCCAUCAACUCCAAACUUCGAAAUCUGAAAAGAACCUACAAUAUGAUAUAUAAAAUAUAACUAGAGUAGCAUUUUUUAUAAUAUUUAUAUGAGCUCAAUUUUAAGGGAUCUCUAGAGUAGAGCCUAAAGCUUAGUUUAUUACAUAAUUUAUUCAUGAGAAAUUUAAAAAAUAAGAUAAAAUAAAAUAUAAAAAAAAUCUAAUCUCCGAUUCUUUUUACUUUUAUUAAAACCGUCGUCUAUAAAAUUUAAACUCAGAGCCUCCUGAAACUGAGACUCCAUCUCCAAAUAAAAGAUGACAAAUUCAAGUGCAGCAACAACACAGUACAUCUAAACAGCACUCACAAGUCUCAUAGCAGCAGAAACAAGAAGAAGCUGCAAACAAACUGCACCGAAAUUCACAGAUCACAAAACGAAAUUAAAAGGAUAAUCAAGUACAUAUAUAAGUAAAAACUGUAAAAAUUUCAAUCAUACUAACCAAGCAUAGAGGCACCCCUUCUCCUCGUGGCGCCGUCAAACGUGAUCAACCGGGGACAUUUCUUGGUAACCCGGUGGUGCAUACAUUUUCUCUUCUUCCUCCUCCCACCACAAAUUAAGAAAGAUAAAUAGACUGAGUGCUGAUUUUUCUGUGCAACUCUCUUCUUUUUUAGGCUUACAAAUUUGAUAGAAAUACUGAAUGAUAAAAGCUGUGUGUGAUUUGCAACCACUCAGAUUUGGUAUUAAAUGUAUCCACCAAUCAUUUUUAUGAGCUUCCAUUACAAAAUCAAUGGUUGACAGGUGGGUGAGGGAAUGAAGCUGAGAUUCUAUCCCACCACAGAAGUGGGCAGUCUAACUCUUUAUAAGUACAGACAAAAUCGCUUAAUCUUCGUUGUGUAAUUCACAUUCUCAACACACUCCCUUUUGUGUGGGGUCAUUUAAGCCUAGCACAUGACAGCACACUUGGGUAAAGUAGGAGCAAGCAAGAUGUGACUCAACACGUGAGUAACAUGCUCUGAAACCAUAAAAAAUGUUUAGGGAAAGUUAAGGUAAAUAAACCAAUUAGUAAUAUUGGACGUAGCCUAACUCUUUAUGAGGACAUGCAAAAUCCUUAAUUCGCUAAUGUGAAAUUUACAUUCUCAACAGCAUACAUAUAAACAUACAUACAUACAUGUUUACGUGCAUAUAUAUAUACAUGUAUAUAUAGGUGUGUAUAUACGUAUACACAUGUGGGUACAUACGUGCAGGCCAUGUGUGAUCACCGUCCAAAUGGAGAUGUGAAGUCAGAUUCCAAUGGCUUGAGUCAUGACACCAUCAUCAGGGCUUCCCGUGAUUCAUAUUCACAAGAAAUCACUGAUUUCUUUAUCAAUAUAAAGACGAGACUACCACAUCUUCUCUCUUUUUAUUCUUUCAUGUAUUACAAUUGUAUGAUUCUAACAUGGGUUAGUAGACAGAAAAAUAAGGGUAACGCAGUCCGACCACAUCAUCCACAAAGCACCUCUCAAAAUAUUAAGGGAUGCACCUCUCAAAAUAUUAAGGGAUGGCGUAUAAUUUGAUCUUACUCGAUUCCAUUGAUCUUCAACCGAUGCAGGAGUUGCCUAGUUAGACAAUCCUAUUGAAAUUUCGACCGUUUGUAUGUGAUCUCGUUCUAUGUAAAAGUUAUCCUAAUCAGUCAGCCCUACCAAAAUUUCUCAAGUAUGUAGAUAAACUCUUUUUAGCAGAAAAAUAACUUUAAACUCAAAAUUUAUCAACACAAGCGAGACCAAAACACCGACAUAAUAACACAAAUAAUGUGUAUAAUACGAGUCAAAAGUUGUUCCAAAAGUCAUCAUAUCAACAACAUUUAGAUUUAUGAACUUCACCUAGUACAUGUGAAUCCAUGCUAGCCAAGGUCAAACAUGUUUGUCCAAAAAACCCAAAAAUACCCAAAAAAAAAAAAAAUGAAAUGAGGAGGACAUUAAUUUAGCUAUACAAAUCCUUGACAUUGCAAAGCGGAUGGCUUUAAACAUGAUCACUAUCUACUCAACAGGGAGACAAGAAAAAAUACAACUUACAAAAGAUAGGCCAUAACAAACCAACCCUUCUGUAAAGAUACAAGAUGUGUCAACAAACAUAACACACGGCAAGCAAAACGGUCCUUUAACGAAUCUUCAGCGCAGCGGGAUCAUCUAUCAAUACAACUUAGAAGUACAACUCAGAAGUACAACAUCCAAGCACUAACACAAUCUGCACCGUUUGUUAUCUCUGGUCCAGUUCAGAACCAAAAUUUGAUACUCCAUUAGAGCUGUCAAACUAUGCAUGCCAAGUUCUGUUACUUAAGAAAUUAGCAGACAACAUGGUAAGCAGGAGGUUUUAUAGGAGAUAAAAAGUUACAGGCUACAGGUUGGACCCCGGCCGCAGUUUCCAAGCGUUCCCAUGUUAACCUUCGCUUCUCAGCUGCAGCGCUUGACCUUAGAUUUUCCUCCUCCAACUUACAUUGGCAGGCAAUUACCAGCUCCUCAUCCAUAUCGCAAAAUGUCUUCUUCAUAUUCAGGGUCAGGUUCAGCACCGCUUGAUUCCAGUGGUGUUGGGUGUUUCGCUCAAUAGCUGGGAAGACAAGCGGCAAGAUCACCUGGCGGUUAUGUGCGACAAGGUUAAGGAUGUGUUCAUUGUUCCACAGCAAGUGGGCUCGUUCAGCCACCUAAAACAAAAAAAUGUGUUAUUGUUUAGAAGCAUCAUCAGUUGAAUGAUCUAGAUCAUGCUAACGUAUAGUUCUUUACGAUCAAGCAAGCAAAUUUUCAGUCAAACAGGGGGUUCCAGUUUAUGCAGUAGAAUAUUACCUGGUAAUGAAAACUAUUAAGGCAGCAUCUUAUCCGCCGGAACAGGGGAACCAUGAUCCUUUGAAAUUCGUCCAUGCUAGUCAUUUCCAAAACCUCUUCUAACUCGCUUAAAAACAUCAACUCCUUCUGGCUAUUUGUUACAGGCCAGUACUUCAACAAGCCCUUUAUUACAGUACUCGCCAAUUUCGGAUCCUUAUCUAUAAACUGUACAACACAAUAUGUCAACUGCUGAUGAUAAAUACCCACGGACUUUGGUUUGUGUAGAGGAAUCAGAGCCCUCCACAAAAAUAUCUUGUGUUCCUCCUUCAGUGGCAAAGCAAACCCACUAAUUACACUUCCAAAUAUCUCCAACAGCUCAGAAAUUCCAUUAUGCCUUUCAGUUUCGAAAACAAAACGAUAUAUGAUAUUGCUUACAGCUUUCCGGAUAAAUGGUCUGUGUACCAUGAACUUUCCAUAAAUCCUAUGCAGAAUGGUUUUCAAACAAUCUCUUUCUCUUGGGUCCUCAGAGUCAAAGAGGUCAAGUAAUUUUACGAUAAAAGAGUGAUCCACAUGCUUUUUUGCCACCUUUACAUCAAGUGAACUAUAACUGAUAAACCGAACCAGAAGAUCAUACACAAUUUGCAGAUAUGACCAAGCAGGAUCAAACAUUGGUUCUUCAUCUUCUGUUUCACCGCCAGUAAAAUUAGAUCGAUACUUAGGUGGGAAAACUCUAAAUAGGUUGACUGCACACAUUUUACACACUGCAGAAAUUGCUGGUUCAGUGAACUUCACAGUCCCAGAAGAAACAUAAUCAACAAGUUCUAUUAAUGUUUCACGUUUGAGAUCUUGCUUAACUGGAUCGCUGGAAUCAACGAACUCACAGCAAAGGUUCAGCUUGCUGAUAAAUAGAUUAUGCUUCUGUGGGUUUGAAACCUCCUUGAAGGAUAGAUGGGGCUCCACUGCCUCAGCUCCAGCUGCAAUGCUUGAUGGGAAAACUGCUGAAGACACCCGCUUGACAACAUUUAAUUUGCUUGUAAGAGAACUCCCACCAAUUGUACAUGGGAACCCACUCCCCAAAUUGGAAGUAUUGCUGCCAGAAUCACUCCCUAUAGAAUCUAGUGAAUCACACUUUGACGACUUGCGAGGAAGUUUGCUUAGGAUUUGCUUCAGCAUGGUGGACCCUGCAUAAUCCAACCAACAUUUAACAUGGCGAAAUGUUGUAGCAAUCAAAUCAAUACAUCAAUACAUCAAACCUUCAAACAAAAUAUCUUCGGGCACAUCAGCUACAAAACCAUCCACAUAUAUGGAGUGUAACCAUAGUACUACAAUGUCCCGCAAAGGGAUUACACAACAAAGCAAUAUAAGACUUCAACUGUGUAGGUGGUAACGGGAAACGAAAAACAGACUGAGCGGAACACAACUUGCGAUGAAAUUGAAGCCGUUUAGAAGACAACUUCAGUUAGUCCAUGGACUGUUAAUUUGUCUAUUAGUAAUCAUCAAAUCAGAGUAAUAUCUACAUGACUGCAUUUCUUCAGUAAAGUUCAGAACAAAAGCAUAUACAAGUAGCAAGUGAACUGAAUCUUUCACCCACCAGAUCAAACUCAAAAGCAAUCAAUUCAAAACAUGAAAAAUUUAUACACCAAUAAAAAUCUAACAAAUACUUCUAUCUUACUAAAGAAGAACAUCAAUCUGACCACAAAAGAAACAAACACUACAGAAAGAAACAAGUUAAAAACAAGUCUCUAAUUAGCAACGAAUUAUAAGAUAAUAAAUGCCUAUAAAGUUAUUAGAUUUUGGUACAACAAACAAUGGAAACUCAGAUCUGGCACAAAAACAGAAUAAUAACACAGAUCUACACCAACCCCAGAUCACAAUUAUCAUAAAACCCUCUUGAAAAAUAAAACUUGGGCACGAUCUAGACAAUGCACAAACAAAAUUCAUCAAGAACAAGAAUUUGAAGUCUACCCAAGUUAGCUAAACUGAACACAAACAUUCAAGGAGAGAGAAACCUGUUUUGGAGCUUCUGGGUGUGCUUGUAAAAAACACAGAGAGACCCUUUUUAGCAAAUGAGAGUAGAGGAGGAGGUCAUGGUAUCCACAAAACUACCCAAAAUGUAAUUUUGGGUGAGAAAUGAAAAAGCAAUUUACUUUAGAACAAAGGGGAAGAAAAACAUAAGGCAGGCAGCAGAGAGAGAGAAAAAGAGAGAGAGAGAGAGGCAGUGUUUGGCUGUGAAAAAAAUGAUGUUUUGAUCCACUAUCUCCCUUUAUGUUGGACCAAAAGCUUAAGCUAGAGGGCUUCCAUGGGAGAUCAAUACGAGAUCAAUACGAGGUCCUCGAUUGAAAAGAAGAGGCGGUGUGGCAUUUUCUGAGAAUUGCAGGCGCCGGUCUCCACCCAACAAAAAUAAAGUUUUAACACUUUCAGUUGGUAGAGAAGAAAAAAGAAAGAAACUAAACUAUAUGAACAAAAAUAACUAUUUGAGAAAUAUUCCUUAAGCUAAGCUUGGCUGAGCUGAAUAAGAUCUGGAUUGGAUUUUCAUUUGGUAAAAAGCAUUGCUAUUAUUGUACUUGUGGGGCACCGAAAGCGGCCUUCUUGUGUACCAUGUUAGCAGUAGCACCAACCCAACUCUUGUGUGUUGUUCCCUUUCUAACUGAUAUUUUUGUUGGUCCAUUUGGUUUACUUAUGUUUGAUUAGCCCUAAACAAAGAAGAGGGGUAGAUGGAGAGGAGGACUACUAACCUCUUCUAAUGAUGUUAUUAUGACCGUAUCUCUUAUGCACUGAUAUAUUUUAAGUCGCAAUUUGGGUUAAUGCAUCAGAUAUUGAAUAUGUCAUAGUGUAAGUCCGAACAUGCGUUAUUGACUUGAGAUACCUUCACAUUAGUAUCUUACAUAUAAUUAGAUGAGGCAUAGACUCCCCAACAUAUAUUGUACAUACUCUUUUUAACCCAGUUGGGUUAUUUAGGUAACUCAACUUUUAUAAAGUGUUAUCAUAAAAUGAGAGAAUCCAACUCAUGACCUCUAAUGAUAAUACUAAAUUCUAUUAACAAACUGAGUUACAAUUUUCUUACUUGAAUAACUCGGCUUAAGAUCUUGCUUUGUAAUUUAACUGUGAGCCUAAUGCGUUUAAUCAUUGUACGAACUUCGUGGCUUUAAUUAUUAUAAGAGUAACUUUUAUUAAGACAAUAUGUGAGAAUUAAAAAAAUGUAUAUGGAUAGCACCACCUUUUUAUUAAUGUAUUUCACUCUUCAAAUUCCAUAGGGGUGAUUUUAAAAAAGAAAAGGAACCAUAAUGCAUGUUGGCCAAUUUAACAAAAGGUUAAUCUUUUGAUUUGUUCAAUUGUUCCCCAAGACAAAUUAUGGGAUCAACAUCAUAACUAAAUGACAAAAUAUAGUGCCAAGUCUUGUCCUACCCAACAGGGUGCCCAUCAAUUAGUUGGUAAGCAGAAAAAAUGUGUAUUAAACAAAAAUAAAGCAAAGUUAAAAUAAUAAAAGGUUGGAGUUUGCUUAUCGGCUUUGAGAAGCAAAGAAGACCAAAUGAUUCACAUAACAAUAACUUUGUUUCCAUUUAACUUCAAUCUCAUCCGUUAUAGUGAACUUUAUUUACAAAGUUAUGUUUGCCUGAUGACAUCCUAAUAACAACAAUAAAAUCUUAUUAUAAUAAGUGAGGUUGACUUUAUAUAUGAAUCUUAGAACGUCACUACACUUGAUUUUGCACCAAAUAUUCCGUUAACUCUAGAUACUAUAAUUAAUUGGCUCCCUGUUGGGUAGAACAUGGCUUUGCAUUCUAAGAACGUAAAAAUAUUUUUGCUCUUUACGUGUGAUGACUCAUUUUUCUUUAUUAUAAUGUUUAUAUUGUGAGAGUUACACUUAAUAGUAAGAACGGUGUCCGUUUUCUUGUAUCCAAGUUCGGAAAGGUUAGAUAGUUUACAUGAAGGUAUUGAAUUGGGAGAAUUUAACAGCAAAAUGCACAUGACUUUGGCUCGGUACAAGUACUUAUUAAGGACAAGAUGAUAUUGUCCAAAAAACAAAAGCUGGUGCGCAUUUCUGGCAUAAACUAAGGAAGCUAUUAUUACUAACCAAAUGAUCAAUUUGCAGUAAAAGUAGUAGGGCAGAGUACUUUUACUGGUGCAGCUGUAAUUACCAUCAAAGUUUCACUGAAUAACACACCUAAAAAGAGGGGGGGAAAAGGUACAGUCAGGUUAACCUCUCUCUUAUUUUUCUGACUGAAAUGGCUUUAACAAGGAAAAUAGGGACACCUGAAUUGAGAUUUUCUCUGUAUUUCACAGUUCGAAGCUAACAAAUUGAGUACUUUGGAUCAUUUAUUUUAAAUUUUACGGUUUUUAUUAGUCUAUCUUAUCAGUCUGCCACAUAAAAAUCAAGGGUAUGAUCUUCAAAAUUUCUUCUCCCUCUUUUGAUUUCUUCUCCCUCUUUUGAAUAGUUUGAAUUACGCAAUUUGUCUGCUCUGAACUACAGGAUAUGAAUUCCAUCUAUAUAUGCACAUGAUGACUCAGGAAGGAAUCUGAGUCCUUGGAGCUGCAAAAUGAUUACAUCAAAUUAUUAUAUGACUACCUUUUAAAAGAAGAAAUAAAUAAAAUGAAAUUAAAAGGGAUUAUCUAUUUCUACUUUAACCGUGCAGGACGCCAUGUACGGUGUACCUAUCCCAACGGCAUCUGAACUUUUCAUCAACCGAAUACGCUUGCAUGAUUCUAUAAACAUCCUGCAAUUAAUUGGAACAAAAAAACAAAGAAGAAAACGUAUGGUUAUACAUAGGUUUAGGGUUUGACAAAUCACAUGAAAGCAAAUUGCAUAACCAAACUUAAAUCUGGAAAAGAAAAUAGAAGUACGAUGAACAAGAAAUAGACCGAACCCUAGUCACACGAAAUGGCUCUAUAUUAUUUUAUGCAACAACAUUAAUCAAGACUCUUAUAGUUGAUGAAAAAUCAAUCAUAUAAUAUUUAAAAUUACAGUUUAUUAUAUGAUCGUUCCACUAACCAAACUCCACUAACGCUAAAGAUUUGGCCAUUUAGAAGGCUGGUGGGGAUUUGAAUUUGGGUCGCUACUAUGUAACACUUUGCCAACUCAACUAUAUAUAACCAUGAGGAUUAACAUGCACAUGGUACUCUUGGCUUGCUACAUAUAUACUUAAACACUAACUAAUUUUAGUUAUAUGAAAUGUUUUGGCAGAUUUGUGACAAACAUGCAUAUGUAGCACUUCCAGUCCUUUUAAAAAUACUUCCAUACGAGCCCGUAGGUACUGGUAACUUACUUCCAAGGGACGUCUCCAACUAACAUCCAGUCUCCAUACUUGUCUUCAUAUGUCAGCACAUAUUGAUCCAUUCCUUUCAAUGCAGGUUUCAUAACCUCAUUGCUAUCCUCAAUAUACUUACCUAAUUAAAACAUUAUCCAGAUUAAUUACUAACCUUGUAUUUAUUAAUUAGAGCUUGUAUCACAAAUUUAUAUUGGUAUAACAACUAGUUAAUUAACUAGCGCUAGCUAGAUUUUAGCUUAAUUAACUUUAUAAUACUCACGGCAUAUGGUUAAGAAGUGAACAUUUGGUCUAAGGCUGUCAAUAGCUCCUGAUAACUUUUGUACUCCUCCAAGUCUAGUUUACGCAGAUAAGGAGCUCCAUCUGCACUCACUUUUACAUUCUUUCUGCUGCUCUCCACCACCACCAACGCCUUCUGUCUCAUCGAUCUUACCGGCGGCCACCCAAUUAUUCUUGCUCUGAAUAUCAAAACCCCAAAUACACAGUUCGUUAGAUAAAGCUGAAAGGAAAAUGUCGACAAGCUAAACAAGUAUGAUGAUUUAGUCAACUUUUGACAUGGAUAUAUAAUUCUUGGAUUACAAUUUUAAAACUGAACGAUUUGAUAUCACACAUCGGAACUAUGCAUGUACGAAACAACAUAGACAAGUUAAAACAAGGACAUGGGUCCUCUCCAAUCUUUGCUUUGCAGCUGGGGCUUUGAUGACGGCGGGAGUAGUUGUAGAACUACUACUUGAUAAUGAACUGCCACGUGGACCGCUACAGGUAGAGCUUUUCUGUAGGCAAAUCUGAUCAACGGUCUCCAUGAACCCACGUUUCAUCGAGCUGCCACUCCAAAGACACGAUGAUGAUCAUAAUGACGUCGUACCAGGUAACCCUAAGGUGAGCUCAGUGUCCUUAAACUCCAUGCUUUCAUUUGCUGACAUCAGCUUUCCGGUCGGCCGGCUAGUACUGUGUGAACUUAUGCAGGUUGUUUGCUUUGUUGUUACAUACAUAGAGAACAGGAAGAGUGGAGGUAGAAAAUUUCGAAGGAGGAUCUCGCCGGAUCUCUUUCCUAUGGAUCCUAGCGAUUUCGCAAUUAUAUCCGUUCAUCGUAUAUUGUGCGAUCGAUUUUUGUUAGGUAUUAUUUAUAUUUGAAUUUUAAAUUUUAAAUUUUAAAUAAUUUAUAAUCGUACGAUGUAUAAUGAACGAAUAAGAUUGCAGGAUUCUUAGAAAAGGGAUCGGCAAGGAUCCUUGUUUGAUUAUUUCAAUGGCACGAGGGGGGGGCGAAUGAGGAGAGUCCACGUGGGGUCAGGUUCAUGCAUGGCUUGACAGUAGCAGCAUAGAAGUUUGUGCCGGCUGUCGGUUCAUCCAAUCCGAUUCAGUUUCUGUCACUCCCUCUGAAUCGACUUCCAUACAUUAUUACCAAAAUUACCAUAAUGCUUUAGAAAUUCCACAUCUUCAAUUGUACAAAUUGGAGGAAAUUCUGUAGGCAUUAUAAGCAAAAGUUACAUAGGGAAUUAUUGAAAGGAUGUGAUAUCACACAUUUCUUUUUACUUUUUACAAACAUUUUUAAUUUUCGGCCGUCGGAUCGGAUGAAAUAAAGAAGAUCAACGGACAUAAAUUAACAAGGGGUGUGUGAGAAGUAAAAAUGGGUGUGUGGAUAACACAUCCCUUAUUGAAUAUGUUAUAAAUACGCGUGAUAUAAUUUAAGUGAAACAGUAAUGUUACGUAACAAUAUUUUGUUUUGGUUUAUGAAAAAUUAUUCGUGCUAAUUGUUGUGCAUACAUAUAUAAUUCCAUUAGGAUAAUCCAAUUAGCGUAUAUCCUAAUCCUCUUUUUGUAUUUUUUUGGUAGAUAUUAUAUCGCUUAAAUAUUUGAUUUAGAGAAUCAUAGUAUUUCUCUAGGAAGAGGAUAUUUGAAAUGUGAAAUUUGAAGCCUCAAACAUUAGGGAGAAAAAAGCUCAAACAUCAGGGAGAAAGAUGUAACUAGACGAAAAGUUUGUGUAAUUGAUAACAUCAUAUGAAUUCGAGUUUUCAACUCUUAUUGGGAUCUUGCCAAACAUACGCAAUACUUGAGCAAAAUUAAUUAUUGAGCAAAAUAAGGAUAGAUAUACAUCUAUUUAUAUAUCACAUUUAUGAAUCACUUAAUACGACAAUUAAUGUGGUAGAUCACGUUAUCUGCCAUGUCAGAAGCUUGUCUUAGUUAAGUUUCUAAUAUAUAAUGAUUGUGUGACAUAUGGUUAUCAAACUUUUUUUUUUUUUUGUGAACAUAAGUUAUCAAACUUUAAGGAUGCAUAAGUGUAAUCUUAAUUUAUCACCAUGGAUUGAAUCUAACGAAUGAUCUAACUCGGUCUUUCAAAACUUGGAGAGGAAUAACUUUGACUGCAAAGAAGCCGAUUACAUUGUCCACGCCAACGGGUCUAAAUCCACAUCUUUGCCUCCUUUAAAAUUUGAAAGACUUAUAAUAUACUUUUUGUUCAAGGACAACAAAAAUAUUUUCUAAAAACACAAAAAAGUAUAUAGCCGUUUUCACAUCAUCUCCUUCGUUUCCUUCUCUUUAAUCACAAAACCCAUACAAUAUGUGAGUAUUUCAUGAAAAAAAGGUGGUUUUGAAGUCGAGACAUUUAUUGACAACAAAAAUAAUUACUUAAGCUGUUUUAUUAUUAAUAAUAUAUUAAUCCUUCAACCAACUUGGAUUACUAAACUCACCUCUCAAAAUGUAAAAUAAAACAGGACGUUACUUAGUACUACGUUCUGAAUGUAUUAUUUUUAUGUAUAAGUGAGAGAUUUUAAGCUCAAUUUUUGUCAAAACAAAUUUGAACCAAUUUAUUAUAACUAGCCAUUGUAAAACUUGAUUCACGCUUCAACCCCUUAAUGUAAAUAAUAUGGUAAGUUUCAAAAAAUGUAAAUAAAACUAUACAAAGUGCGGGGUGGGGGGUGGGGGGGGGGGGACUCGUUGACUACGAAUUUGGAUCCUCUCCUAAGCCAAUGGAGAGGAUCCUCCUAACCAACCAUUGUGGACUGUUGGAUUUUUAUCCAAUAACUACAAACAGAGAAAUCCUUUUAAAGUUAUAAUAAUUACAGUUGGUCAGGAGGAUCAUCUCCAUUGGCUCAGGAGAUGAUCCAAAUCCGUUGACUACAGUUCCCAAAUUAAGGAUGAAAUAAGUCGACAAGCAUGUGACAAGUGUUGGAAUGUCGAAAUCGUGUUGCCUUCCAAUUCGUUGAAUUGAAAUCCAACAAGUGGCAGCCACUGAAAAUGAAAAUGAAGAUGCCUAUAUUGCUAAGGAGGCAGAUUGUCUGUCCUCCUCUUUGGGUGCCCUUCCGAUCCUCUCAUAUUUUGUGCGAUCACGGUUAAACUACGUCAACAUUUUAUAUUAAUUUUUUAUAGAGAUAAUAAGACAAAAAAUAAUAAAAAUAUAAAAUAUUGACGUGGCUUAACCGUUACCGUACAAAUAAGAAAAGAUAAGAAGGGCACCCAAAGAAGAGGGCAGACAAUCUACCUCCAUAUUGCUAAACCAGCGCGCAGCUUUACACGACCAGUAGCUUUAACUUUAGAUUAGUUGUUAAUCUUCUUUCUUUUUCUUAUUCCAGUUAAUAUUUAAUUAAACAUUUACUUAAACCCUUAUUCAGUGUUCACCGCUGAAAUCUCACUAGUAUCAAACAUUGGCGAGAUUCCUAGGAUUAGACAUCAGUCAUCUAAUUCAUAGUUAUGGAUUCAGAAUUUUUUCUUCUUCUUGAGAUCAACUUGAGAUCAAGAUGAAGUUCACACGCUACGUUUACUAGUUACUCUUGACUCAUUACCCUGCCUUAGCCUCUUAGGGGCAUUUAGUUAAACCUUUUGAGUCAUACUCAAAGGCUUGACAAAAGGGUUGUAUUUGUCGUGUUCGUGUUGUUUUGUGUCAUACUCGUUAUCUAAACGAGUCGUGUGGUGUCAAACUAGUUACCUUAACUGGUCUUAAUAGGUGACCCGAAAACGAAUUGGUAACGAGUUCUUAACAAGAAAUAACCUGAUAACAACCCAUAACGGGUCAUUUAGUAUUCGGGUAGCAAAUCAUGCAAGAAAUUGUCAAGCCUAAUCUCUAGAUUUGGCUAACGAUAUAUCAUUAGGUUCUUAACGGAUGAUUCGAUAACGAUCCGAUUCGUUAACAGGUUGACCUGAAACCUAUUAUUUUCGUAUUGUUUCGUGUCGGGUUAACGAGUUGUGCAAGAAAUUGCCAAACUUACUCUAAGAUACCAUCAACUGAAUAGCGGGAAGUGAGAGCAAUUGCAUACAUAAAAGUUUACAGUGGAUCCACGAGUGUAGUCGUAGUUAUGUAGAAUUUCAUAGAAUGAUUCAAAGUUUAAAUUAGUUGGCAUGCGAUGGUAUAAUUAAUAACCAAUGUAUUUGGUUUUGCGCCAUCCAAUUUCAAUUAAGCAAUUGGAGAAUGAUGCCUAAUCAUGUGAGGUCUCAUGCAGAGUUUUGAGCUUUCAACCUGUACAUGUGCAAUUGUGCAUGCAUAUGAGUUGUAUUAAGAACAAAACAAAGCCAUUAAAUAUAUAUAUUUUUUCCUCUAGUUUUAAUUGUAGCAUUUUAAUUUGGGCUUUUAAUAGUUUUAUUUUCUUCACAAUAAUAUGGGCUUAAAUCAAACACCAACAGGCACAGACAACUUCAGGUAGAAUACCCAAAUCAAUAACCUUCACCUGUAGCCAAAAAAGUGGGGUACUUUUAAAUUUAUUCAUUUGUUAUAAAUAGGUAAAAGAGAGACAACUUUUGUUAGAGAUCGAAGUAGAACAUGAUUAGUGUAUCACUCUGUCACAUUCUCUUUACUUGUGUUAGAUAAGGGAAAUAAAUAUAGAAGGAAAGAAGCGAGAGACACUUGUAGAAUUUAUUUCUGCAAUAUGAUUUGAUCUUUUGUUGUUUUGUAAGAAAAAUGUGUUGUUUAUGGUAUUUCGGAGUCACAAUAUAACUCUUUUAUAUAGGCAAAAGUCACAGAGACAAACAACCAAAAUCUUAGUUUUCCAAAAAAAAAAAAAAAAAAAAACCAUAAUCUUACGGAUAUGACAAUCACAAAGCAAAGACGGUUGUAGCAAAUAGUAGGUAAAAGCUUCUCCAUCGCAUGUGGGGCAUCCAUAUUUACAACAUUAUUUGAGUUUUACCACAAAUAAUCUUUUAUACCAAUUCAUUGAUUUUCUUCAAAUAAUCCUUUAUAUUCUAUACUCAACAAUUUGGUCUAACAAUUCACAUGGCACAAUGUGAUUGGCUUCCUAGAUCCCGUUUUUACGUCACAUCAGCUCGUUAACAAUUUUUAAUGAACUAAAACAACAAUGACGAAAUUGAUGAGUUUAGAACAUAAAAGACCAAAUUGACAAGUUGAUAAAACAUUAAUGAUUUGUGAUAAAAACUCUUUAUUUUCCAGCUCAAAAAUUUCAAUAAAAAUAUUAGCAAAGCCUAGCUAGAACAGUAUCAGGACAAAGUCCAGUCGACCAAGACAACAUUGAAAUAUCCUUUAUGUAAGUGGUGCGCUAAAAGUUUAGACUGGACAAUUGUGUCUCUUCUAGUCUUUGAAUUGCAUAAAUCAAAUAAAAAUAGAGGCAAACAGAAAUGUACACGAGCAAAAUGGGUGUUCGGAAAUCAUUUUCCGGAAGAAAAAUGGCGAUUUUAAUUGAGAAAUAAAAAAAUAAAAAAUGCGAUGUAGAGAGUGCAAUACAAGAGGAGGUCAUUAUUCACAAAGACACCAAUCUUCCUACAAAACGAUCCAAAUGUGAACUAAUGAAAAAAUUAAGCCAUAUCUAACUAGAGAAAAUGACAAAAAUAGUCUUGUCUUUUGCCCAGUUUACCAAGACGAUUAAUCUGGCGUCAGGAUAAAACACCAAAGGUUCCCAGUGGCACAAACCAAUAAAAUUACAGGCACAAAACCACCAUGGCCGGGUGGAGUAACGACGCAGACUACUAGGGCGGGGAGAGAGACGGGGAGAGCGCGAACCAGAGCAAGAGAGAGGGAGAGAAGAAGAAGAAGAAGAGUACACAAGGGCUAAUUACAAAGGGACUACAUUUUAUCCUUUUUCCAAAGAUGACAGAUGGGAAUAUAUAUAUAGGGUGAAGAAACAUAUUUCAAUCCGAGAAACAUGAGAAGGUUUGUACACAAGCAAUGGGCACAAGCCGAGGGGACGGGUUCUGUCCCAGCCAUAACGAACCCAAUGUUUUGCUAUGCGCUUUCUGCUGGAAGAUGACCCACAAUCCCAAGAUUGUUGGCAUAUUUGGGCCUCCACUCAGUCCUUCCCCUCACAAUCUCAGCCCCAUCCUCAAGUCGAAGCAUGUGCUGGCACUCCACCGUGCCAUUACUUCCCAGGUUGCCGAUAUCAGCACCUGAGACUGCAGUCAGAGACUGAAGCACACUGUCCCUCCCGCACUCCCUCCUAUACUCCAGAGUCAAAGAAGAGAGCUCAUGACUCUCCAGGAUUGGCAAGGGAGCACCCUGCAUCAACCAGAAUCAUCUUUCAGUUAAAGAGGUGUGCAAUAGUAUAAGAUGUAAAUAAGGAACGAUCAUUAUCCAAUAUCCAUCCAAAAUCUCGAUGUAACAUAGCCGCUAAUUACUUUUCAGCUUGGUAUGUAGGUUCAACUUAAAAUCAGCAAACCUACUAGUACAACUUCAACUAAUGGAAAGAAAAAAAUUCCAUUGAAAAAAGUCUACCUCAAGGAUCCAGCCAAUGUACUUCACGUUAUUAACGUGCUGGUUGACAUCUAAAUCACUCCAUCUAGGCUGCAAAUUGAGGGGGAAAAGGAAACAUAAAUAGAAAAUCUUUCGUAGUGAGCAAGCAGCUAAAAGAAACGCGUGAAUUAUGUGCAAAGAUGGUUGACUUACAGUCAAACCAGAGAGAACAACGUCCGCUGUUUUGUCAUCAAGUUUCGGCAGUUUCCUGCCAUCUUCCUCCACAACAGGAGGAGAAUUCAUAAAAAAGGACUCUAUUUCACCGCGAACUGCAUCAGGCAUCUUUGAUAAUCUCCUCGUCACUUUAUUCAUCAUCACCCACACACUGCAAAACCAAAAGGGAAAACAACGGCCAUACAAAUCCCAGUAAGUUACUCUUUAAAACACCAUUUAAUUGUGCAAGAGCACCAUAUUGCUGAUUGAAUUGCCAAAAGCUACCUUGGAUCUAUAAUAUAGAAAACAUAUCUUAGACUGUAUAACAAUUACCUGGAGGCUCUUGUUAGAAUUUGGCCAGUUUUCAAAUCCUGGAUAAUCCAAUCACGACGCAUUCCAUUCUUCCCAGAGGCACUAACCCAAGUGUCAACUUGAACAACGUCACCCCUGCAAUAAAGAAGCAAUUUGAGUCUAUCAGCAUAAUUGUCCAAUCAAAUUAAUGAGUGACAAAUCCUCCCAUUCAGAGAUAAGAGUUAUAUAUAGUCAUCAGCUAUAACAGAUGGUAUAAAACUUGUCAAUUUUAACCUAGUUGGGCAUAGAAAUGAUGUAUUAGUGCAAGUUAAUUAUGUUCCCAAAGUCGUCGAUACUUUAGCACUCAUUCUUAUAUUGAGAAUUUUGAAUAGUUAGCUUCUGCCUCUAGUAUCUUCCUCUUCUAAAACAAUACAUCAACUCGCUAGAAUCAGAAUGCAAAUGGAUAUGAAUACAUAAUACAUUCAACCUUUAUGCCAAAAUCAUUACAACAUAGAAAGACGAAAGAAAAUAGGUAGCCUUCAGACCUUGAAUACACAGUGAAGAGAAAAAAAAGAAUAUUAAUGAGAAAUUAGCUCCGCCUAUCUACAAAUAACAUUUUGAAUUACUGCAAUAAUGCAUCAACAGUGUGCUUGUGUUUUUUCCAAACACCAAAUUGAAUAGUAACUUUUGAAGUGUCCCCACUACUAUUCAAGGCUAAUCUUAAAAUUAUACAUAAUUCAUACAAUAGAUAACGGCAUAGCAGAACCAACAUAAAUUCCAAAAUAGUAAAGUCAAUCAACCCAAAUACAUAAAUGAACAAGUGACCAGGCAAAAUAAAGAGUAAACAACUUUUCUAGCAGAAGAGCAAGAUGAAUGUGACUUACCAAGUAGGAUAGCGGUCUACCACAACCUGCAUCUUCGUUACCACCCAUAUCAGGUUUCUUACAGUCAUCUCUGGAGUUGAACCAAAACCAUCUCCCAGAAGUCCAGCAGUCUUAACAUGAUUAAGUGCUGUUUCCUGCAGCCCAAAAAGAGAAGUAUGUAAUGACAAAGCUUGUCAGGAAGAAAAUGCACUCAAGCUCAAGAACGUGAACCAGUCACAGAACAUGUAAUUUGUGCUUCAAUCUCCUUAACUACAAACUGAAUUUGAAUUUGUCAAAAACUAUAACAUAGAAAUCAAAUUUGUCAAAAACCUGUAAAUGAUUCAUUAACGUCUCUAUUGAAGCCGUACGAUCAGCACCUAUUUCAUAUGAUCUAAUUGAGAAGUUCUGGCGAAAGACAAGACCAUCCUGAACAAUUCGUCCUAGACCAAAUGGGUCAAUGAGCAUGUCAGGUCGCUUGGGUUUCCAAUCAAGCAUUGUCCAUUGCUUCUCUGCAGCCAAGAAGAUUGUGGUAAUAGCAGCAAGGAGCACACUCCAAUCAGGUAAUUGGUUAAUGAAAGUCCGUGCCGGAGGGGAUGAAAUGUCAUCCCCAUGCUUCCCACUUUCCACGGUUGCCAAACCAACACUAGUUCCAUUUAUCUUUGAAGGGGCUUGAGCAUUUGCCUUUACCUGCAAACCACCAGAUGCAGACUUCGAUUUGAGUCCUAAAUUGGCUGACCCAAGCUUGGCGUUCUUGGCGCUUGAGUCUGAGUUGGGAGAAGAAACCGGAAAGAACGAGGCAGUAGCAGAAGUGGCAACCAUGAUGACAAUUGGAUCAGAGCAAAGAGUCACCGAUCCAAGCACUGUAACAGUAAAAUUCCAAAUUUGUCAAUGUAGUUUCACAUGGGAAUACAAAAAUAACCAAUCUUCAGCAAUAUGCACAAAAUGCCGGCAUGUUACUACUGCGGGCAUAAUAGCCAAUUGCCAGGUAGCAACUGACACCAAAACACCGACGGUAACAUAAUUUGAACAAAAAAUGAGAACAAUUCCUUCCCUAACUAAUUAGGCCAAUAACACCACCUGAUUCCAUACUCAGAAACCAACGAAAAAGCCAAAAGAAUUUGUACUGUGCAAUUAUCAUUUUUCGUUUAUUUGUUUGGGAGAAAGCAGUCUAGAAGACAACCCAAUUCAGAAACUUAAACAAGACUCAACAUUCAAAAUUUGAACAACAUAUUCUCCUUACAAAACCGAAAAAUAGAGGAACUAAACUAAAAAUUACUCUAACCCCAUAAGAGCUAGAAAUUAAAAUUUUCAGCAUAUGUUUCAAUCAUCAAUGAUUGUGUAUAACCAAAAUCGAAAACACGAAAAAUUAACAAAAGUAUCAGAGAAGCCUAAAAUUGGUGAGAAAAAAUGCACAACCAGCUGAAAUUAUAAAACUUUAUCAGAACUUAAUCUGUCUAAAAAAACAGAAUUAAGAAGCACAAUGAUUGAUACAGCUACGGCCCACAAAAAAAACAAAAACAAAAAGAACACUUUCGGGAUAUAUGCAGAGAAAAUCAAGGCAGAUCUGAGCUUUUGCAUCAACACAAAUCCAGUGAGAAAUCACACAACAUUUCAUAUGCCAUACAAAUUAUUUACAAUACGAAAAGAGAACCAUUUUUCCACUUCGUUACUUCAAGCAAACAAAUUUUCUUCCUUGUCUGUUUGGUUGCCGAGAAAAUGCAGAAACGAAAAGAAAAACAAAUCAAAAUUUCAAAACUUUCUCACAUAGAUCUUCAAUUUUAACGGGCAGAGAUAACACCUCCCCCUCAAACGAAACGAAAAAAACAGAAACAACGCGGCAACAACAACAACAUUCCCAUUCAUUCCGCCUUACCUCAACUUUCUCGGCAACCAAACAGGCCCCCUCCGGAAGAAAUCGAGAAAGCUUUCUGGACCUCCUCCUGCCCUCACCUUAAACCAAACAAACACGAAUCCAGAGCAGAUGGAAGGCCUAUUGCGUCAUUCCGGAUCGGCAAAACCUCGAGUUCUGCGUAGUUUCCACGGUUUUCCGAUUCUCCUUCGGUGGUGGUAGUGGGGGUGGUGUUUCUUUUAGCUUUCGAGAGAGAGAAAGUGUAGAGAGAGAGAAAGAGAGAGAGAGAGAGAGAGAGAGAGAGGGAGGGAGGGGAUUUUAGGGCCAGCGGUUUUGUGGGUGGUGGGGAAUUGGCGUCCAGCGAGGGACUCAAUAUAUAGUUUCUCCACCUGGCUGUACGUUAUCCCGCCUCAUUCCAAACUUCUUCACCCGACACCAUUUUUCUUCUUUUAUUUACGUCUUUGCCACUCCCACCUUUUUUUUUUCAAUUUUUAUUUUGUUAAUCGGAUUUAUUAAUUUGCCAACAAUUACUGUUGAGUUCUUUUUUGGUUCAUUAUUAUUGUUGUGUUAUUUUGGUUUAACAUUAUUGUUAUUGUUGAGUUGAGGGACCUUUUAUGUUUUACCAAAUUGCAGAAAUUGUCGUUAUGGUGGGGUUAUAUGUAAAUUUUAGAAUAUAUGGUGGUAAAAAAAAAAAAAAAAAAACUCUUGAUGACACACAUGUGUGAAUAAGUUAUCAAUUUUAGUCCAAAUCAAACUUAACAUCUAAAUUGUUUAAUUUUUUUUUUUGUAAGAGAUCUUGUAACGCAAUUAGUUAAGAAUAUUCGUUGUUGCAUCAUCUUGUAGUUUAGAUGAGUUUAGUGUAUCAUCAUAUUGUUUGUCCAACAAAAAAAAGUCUAAUUCUGUCCAUGUAAGCCUCAUUUUUAAGAAUGGAAGAUCAUUUCAAGCCUAAUUUAAAGGUCAAACAAACAUUGCAUGCCUAAACUCAGCCAAGUUAGCUACAGUGUGAUCUACGUUAUGCAUUCAAUGUUCGAAGUUCUCUUCUAGGUAAGAUAAAUUGACUAUAAAACAUAACUUAUAAAUUCAAACAAAGUUCAAUGUCUGAAAACAACAUUUUCACUCUUGUAUGUGAACCACACAUAAACGAAUCUAUUCAAAAGAUAAAUAUCAUGACAACCACAAUUGCGAAUUCUCUUAAUACUCUUUGAAACGCUUCACUUUUACCAUACUUUGUAUUGAGUCAAUUUAGGAAAUUAUGAACACAUUAGUGAGUAGUUUAAUAUCACCAUCACGUUUGUUCAAAAUUUGAAACAUGUCAUUUUUAAAGGUGUAAAAGGGGCAAUUUGGACCCUCCCCUCAAAUUCAUGAUUCAAACAAUAUCCGUCCUUUAACUCUAAAACAAUGUUAAACUUGUGAUUAUCCAUCUUGUAACUUCCAAAAGUUAACAACAACAUCAUCCUAGCGUUAUAAUAAUACCUUUUUAAUUUAAAAAAAAACAUACAAAUUGUAUUUUGGGACAUAUAUUGGUUGAGCUACGUAUUAGCUCGAUGCCAAACUUGAACACUACAUUCCAUGAUACCCAUCUCUCAAAUUGAUGGUGAGUAGCUCAACCAUAUGUGUACUAAAUUAACAGUUGUAUUGCCAGCUCAAAUUGGUUUUGACCUCCAACGCGUUGGAGACCGAAGGAAUUACAUUCAUUCUCAAAUUGUUUAUAUAUGUAUACAAACAUCUAUAUAUAUACAUGGUUUUGACUUGUCAUAUGAUUAUGUGUCAUGUUACUUGAGGUCUUCAAAUAAUCAAGAUCCUCUUCAGAUUUCUGUGUUCGAAGAUGACGGACAUAAAGAUCUGAACCACUCAUUUUAAAUCAUAUGACCUUCAUUAAUACAUCUCAUUAGCCCACAUCACACAAAUUAAGGGUUCAGAUCUCUCUCUCUCUUGAACGGUCUGAAUUUCUCAGUCCAUCGACUUCGAACUGUGAGAUUCGAAGAAAAUUUGAAUUCGUAUUAAGAAACAAGUUUCAUUAAAAAAGUACACCAUUUUAAUUCUUCCAUCGACCAUCCCCCCAUCGGCCAUCCUCCAUCAGCCAUCCCCUUAACUUAACCCAGCAAUAUUACAAUUUUAUUUUAUUUUGUCAUCCUAUCCAUAAACUUUAAUUUAAAAUGUGUAUUGUUGAAAAACGUUGAUGUAUAUAUGCUUUUUUUGGUAAUACGAAAGGAAAAGGAAAGUCUCAUUUGACAAGCUCAAUGAACUUUGUUCGUUGGCUCAAGUUUUGACCCUUCAAUCUUGUUGGCUCACGCUACGUUUUCAUGCAAGCAUACUCCUCAAAAAAGUUACUCUAAACAAGUUAAUCUGCUCAAUAGAGCCAUAUCUGUGACGUAGAUCAACUUGAUCAAAAGAAAACAACUCUCGAUUCAACAACUUUUAUCACUUAAAUUUGCAUUCAAAGUUUCCUUCCGAAAAGAUGGACGACUACAUGCACGUACGUCAUUAUACUAAACAGUCAUCCAGUGCUUGUGCAGUGUUGAAUAACUUUUAGGUUUGACAAUGACACUGCUAGUGCUAAAGCAAAUCAGGUGGUGAUAUAACACGUACCAAACCACUUACAUGUAGACCUGUAAACGGGUCGGGUUUAUUGAGUUUGAUCGGGUUCAACUUGACCGGUUAAGUUAACAGGUCAUCCGAAUUCAACCCGUUAAGCUAACGGGUCACCCGAACCCGACCCCGACCCGUUAAGCUAACGGGUCACCCAUUUCACCCUUUAACACCUGUUAACAAUUAUUAUUAUUUUUUCUUUUUGCAUAGAGUUUAUAUUUUGUUGUUAAAACUUUAUUGAAAUUACUAAAACAUCCUCAACUAAAGGGUGUUAACGGGUGCUAACGAGUCUAAUGGGUUGACCCAAAGUGACCCGUUAUUUAACGAGUUGUUAACGGGUCGGGUCUGAUCGGGUUAACGGAUUAUGUUCAAAAUGCCAGGUCUACUUACAUGAUAACAUGCGUAAAACCAAACAUUUCGCAUCCUUGUUUUGUGAAUUAUGUGUAAUGAUCGCUUUAAAAUUUCUCGUGCUUGUGUUGUGAACUAACGUGUGCGUUUAUGGAAAAAUAGAAAAGAAAAAGAAAAAGCUAAUUAAUUAGACCGGUAAACUACAUGUUGUAUCUUCUGCGUGUGUUUGGCGCGUUGAACGUUAAGACGUUUCCUUGCUUGUGGACUGUGACGUGUGCGAAGCUGGUAAAACCAAGAAGUUUCUUUUCCGGCGGUCAAGGGCGGAGAGAACAACGGUGAAAAGACGUGCAACGGACAUAUACCAGUGGCAGUUUUGUGAAUAUCAGUGCAUGGAAAGGCAAACUUGGUAAAGCGAUAAACAGUUAGCGUAGCCUAACAAGGGAUUUAAUCCGUUAACUGUCCUCGGCUAUUUGUUCACUGGUCCCCAUGAUCCGUUCACUUACACAGCCUGGCAACCAGCAAUUAGGGUUUUGAACUUAUGGGAUACAACCUGGAUUUAUAACCAAAAAAUAAAUUAAAUAAUUUAGUAUAUGAAAUUAAAUUACGAUAUGAAUAUUAAUCGACUAAAAUUAUUAAUUAAUAAUGGUUUUAUUUUUCAUAGAAAAAUAUUUUCCUAAACCUUGCAAUAGAUUGAUUGGGAUAGUGUAUCCGAGAGCCAUGUGAGAUUGGAUAAGGUGGGGUUGCCAUCCGGUUAGUACGUAUUAAAAGUAAUACUAUAAUAAUCUAACAGAAAUGAUACGUACACACGUUCUAAGUUUGAUUCCUAAAAUUACAUGAUGAUAGUCAGAGGAGGAUGAAAUGUCUCCAUGAGUUUCUCCUUCCCCCCCCCCCCCCCCGGGCACCAGUUGGUCCAUUUAAAAAAAAAAAUUCUAAUAGAAAUUUUAUAUUAACUAUUAACAAUUAUGUUUACGGGUAUAACACUUCAAGUCAUGGGUUUUGCUGGCAAGAGAUGGAAUAAUAUGGAUUAAAGUUUGGAUAAGCUCGAUGUUUAAUGUCCUCCGAUGCAAUUUCGUUCUAAGUAAUUUAUAGUAAGAGAUGUAACGUGUCCUAUUUAUCAAGACAAGUGGCAGAUAUAAGGACUGAGAUUUUAUACGAAUUAGGAACUCAAUUAGGAAGAUGACUCUUGAAAGAUAAGCCAAACUAGGGUUAAUUAAGGGCCUUAAGGGCUUCGGUUUCAAAAUUUUAUUCUUCACACGGAACCUUAACCCUAUCUAGGAGAAUUUUGAAAUCGAAGCCUUAACCUAGUCUAGGUUUUACUAUGAGAUGAGAAUAUGAAUGCCAUGCGUGAUCGAGUAGUCAAUUUCCCAUAUAUAUAUAUAAAAGUCAAGAGAUACACUUUUGACGUUUUUUUUUUUCGUGGAGUUCAUUUUGUAAUGUAUUUUAACGAUUCAAAAUAUUUAUAUUUUAGUUAAUCAUUCAUAAAUCAUACUUGCACAAAAUUAGACAAAUCCAAAACCAUUAAAACAUACAUUCAUUUAUAGUAAAGAAAACGAACGAAUAUGGUCCUACAAAAAAAAACUAAAUUUAAUCCUACAUGCAGACAUAUAUGGCUUCAGAUUUAUGUGAUUUUUUUAUAGAUAUGAUAUUUGAGUUAAAACAUAAAAGAUAGACGGUUAGGUCUUUGAAAUACAUUACGGAGCGGGCUACACGAAAAUAUGUGUCAAAAUGUGUGUCAGAAGCGUGUAUCCCUGGAUUAUAACAUAUAUCUAAAUAUAAUUACCCAAAUCGAAGCCUUAAGAACUAGUCUAGGACGUUCUCUUAUGAGAGGUCACUUCCAUAUAUAAUAACAUGCAUACGCUCCAAUACAACAUGAACUCAAAGACAGAAUGAACUCGGAAAUGAAUCGAACUUGGAGGUGAGUGGCUGUGCAAAUAUGCACGUAAGAGGCUCGAUCAAUACUGAUCAUGAGGUCUACAGGAUAUAAAUCCACCGCUUCUAUGGGCGCUCUGGGUUUUCUGCUACCUGUCUGAAUAAUGUGCCUUCCUUUUAUUGUUCUCAAACAAUCUGAGACAGCCACGUACAAGCACAAUGCAUAGACUCCACAAAAGAAUAUGAGAGACCAAAGCCACAUUAUGCCAAAUUCAAUUAAUGUCACAUGAGCAUAUUUUCUAUUCUCAUCUACCAACCAAUUUCUCUGUUCAUCUAUUCAAUAUCGUUUUUAAUUAUUUGAAUGACUUAUAUAUGUAUGUGUUUAUAUCUCUUUGAGUGGUGAACCUUAAAAAAUAAAGAAAUGUUUGCAAUCCCAGAGUUCGAUUUGAAUAAUAAAAAUAAUUGAGAGAGAAUAGCACUAGGAGUCAAUGAAGACGGGUUAUUGGAACAAUUGACAUAACCGUAUGCAGAUCUAGAAUUCGAAGUUUAGGGUGCCAAUAUUAAAAGUCUGAAUGUCUUAGAUAGAAAAAUAUCGCGAAAGGCGAAAAAAAAAUUUAUUCACUAAAGCAUUUUGUUGAAUACCUUAUGGGUUUGUUGUCGUUAGCUAAAUUAAGUUGCGCACAUGUCAACAUGUAUUGACAUAUGCCAAAACAAUCUAAUGAGUGUUGUUGAGAGAAAUUAUCGAGUGUUGUCGAUGCAACCUGCCAGAGGCACUUCGCCAAACACUUGGGGGCUCAUGUAUAAGUGCUUUUAAAAUGACUUAAAACACUUUUUGGUAAAAUUGAUUUGAGUUCUAAAAGCACUUUUAAGUGUUUUUUGUAAGAAACAUCAAAUAUGUUAUUUUUGCAUGAAGCACUUAAAGUGUUUUUUAAGGAUCCACUUAAACUUUUACUAAGAAUUGGUCAUUUUCAUUAAAAACGCUUUCAGUUAUUUUAAAUGCACUUCCAAAUGAGUCAUUGAAGGUCACAAAAAAGAUUUGUACUAAACAUUCGAUAGGUCUAAAAGACCAUCACAUGUAAAUUAAUCAGACUAUGAAUAGCCCUACCACCUUAAUCCCAAUAUACAUUUGCCCACCGGUCACUACAACAUCUCGAAACAUGUUUUUAUACUGUUGUUACAUAAAACUUGUUGCUAUAACAAUAAAAAUUACAUUUGAUAAUUGUUGUGUUAUCUGUCUCGUCGGAACAACUACGUAGGAAAAAGUAGCUGUCCUGUCACCAUGCAUGCAAUUGAGCAACGUAAUGAAGAACACUGAUUCAUCUUAGCAACACGCUCACCAAGAACCUUAAAUUGAUUACUUGUUAUUGUUAUUUCGUGUGCAAACAAUUUACAAAUUCACAUUAAGUUCUAUUAUUUUAAACAAGAUCAGUCGCUUUUUUGUUUCAAAGAUGAGAAACGCAACACGAACUUGUCCGCUCAUCUUUAUAUUGAUGUUAACCAAUCACCGAAUGACUACUAUAAAUGAGUUCAAUAAGAGAGUUUCGGACUUUCAAUUUAAAGUAUUUAUUUAAGUAAAAAACAGAAGAAGAAAAAACCACAAGAAGUUAAAAAAAAAUAUAUUAACCAAAAGCAUAAUAUAACCGGAUGACCAGAGAAUACAGUCUGCAUGGGAUUAUAGGAUUGCAGAGACAUUGUCGGCACAAAUGAAAGAAAGCAAAUUUAGAGCACCUUUCAUGGCUUAAACAGAAAACACUCUUUGCCACACUUUGCCACUUGUCGGUGGUUUUUGUUGAGAGCAUCAAUCUUAUAUUGGGAAAAAAAAUGAUCAGUUUCAAGUUUAGUAUGUAGAUAAUACGGACAAUACAAAUCGAACGACUUGAAGCAUAUGUGAUCUUUGGGUUUCACACGAUCAACAACUUGCUCUGAUACUAUGAAAAAAUUUAAGGUUCCACCAUACAACUUAUUGACAACAUAAAGAGUAGCUCAAUUGCUUAUAAGCACAUGUAAGUCCUAUCAUUUCUCCAAAGGGAGCUCAACACUCCCAAAAGUUUAAUCAAAAUUGCCAGAGUCCAGUGCUGUGGAUUUUUUACUCAAACUGGUUGGAAUAUUAAUUAUCGAACGGUUGAAAAUCAAAUGCCAGAACAUUUUUUUCUGUACAAGUGAGUUGAGCGAAAGAAAAUUGAACACAGAAACUCGAUCCUGUUAUGUGUAUAUAGAUAACCACUUGAAUUAUUUGCGACUGCAAAAGUCAAGACAAUCAUAGGGCAAGACCAAACCAGAGGGAAACAUAUAUAUUAAUAUUACUAGUAAAUUCUGUCAAAGAUUUUGACUUGAUUAGAAGUUUCAGAACGUAGAAUCGAUCGAGUUACGAGUUACGAGUUACGAGUUGAGAGUGAUAGAAGCCAUAUAAAAUCCUUGUAUCAUCAUCGUCAGCAAUGAGUGGAAACCGUCCCCGAAGCUCCUGGAAAAAUUUGUUUCACAUGUAAAUCAUUCUUUUUUCUUCAUUCAUUGUGCCCUUUAUUUAUUUAUUUUUUCUACAAAGACAAUUCUUGAAUCUGUAUUACUAGUACUACUAGAUAAUAUGCACGUUAUGGUUUUCAUGCUUUGGCCCAUAAAUUUGGUAUUUUUUCAAUUACUCUAUGAUACUAUUUAGAAAAAGGCAGGGGUUUAAUAUGAACGAUGAUUUUGUAAUGCAAUCACGUUACGUAUUAAAGUUUACCUUAAUAGUGUAACAUGACAUCCACAACGUAAACACUAAUCUUAUUACAGUAAUAAUAAUGUCAUUCUAUGUUAUUAACUAUAACAUUUCUCUUAUUAUAUAUGUAAUUAAUGUUAGACUAGGAACUUUGACUAUUUUUUGUAAUUCAGACGUUAAAUGCUUAACUUCUUGUUGUAAUGCUUAAAUGCUGUUAAAUAUGAAGGGAGAGAACGCAAAAAUAAAUAACAUUAAAGGAUACUUUUAUAACAAUCACCAAUAAUUUUAUUAAACAAGUACCAUUAACUUUUACAAAAGGUACAGUAGCAUUUUUUUCUCUUUUUUCGUUGUUAAAGAAAGAGGAAAGUAAGGCUCCUUGUGGGUUUUACACUGAUAUGAUCAAACAGUUGAGAGUUGCAAACAAGAAUACAAAAUAAAAUCACCAAAAUGAUCAUGAACUAUGUGGUGCAUGGCAAAGUGACAUGUCAACGUUGCACAACUAACACACAUAUAAUAAAACAAAUUUUGACAAGGAAAUCCGAACUUCUUCAUAGACCCGUGCCUUAGGGUCAAUGUGGGUAGGUUUGAGUUUGUUCAGCUAUGUAUCUCAUAUUCUAUAUAUCUAACACUACACAAACACAAUAUAUAAUAUUUACAGUCUAAAUGCCAAAUUAAGGACCUGCCUGACCUGCCUCCAUGGUGCCGUGGUCCAAAAUAUUAAUCCACCGGUCCCCCAACAUGUUUUUCUUUAUAUUGCCGCCCUUCAGUUUCACAGAACCAUAUAUGUGUAGAAAGACAAACCUGAGCAUACCAGUGAAUAAGAAAAAAUGGACUAGAAUUCAAUAGUUCAAAUUUCGUCCAAAUCACAAUAGUAACAACUUUAUUCUUUUCGAAUCAGCGUGAACCAUUGGAUUUUGAUCCAAUUCCAUGCAAGUGUAUUUUAUGCAGUUCUCAGCUUAGUUUUGAUCCAUAAGCUGUGUAUUUAAAUUCAGAAUCAGUAAUUAUCAUCCAUAAAAAGACUUUGUCGUUAAAUCAAAUAAUCGUGUGUAGUUCGCUAGUUUUGAAGUACAUACCCUAACUAAAUUAUGUAUCCCCUAUAUACCUACCUCCCAAAACCUAAUAAAUAAAUAACCAUAUUAAAAGGAAGAAACAUUGAAUUGAUAUGUAUUAUUCAUGAACGUAGUGCGUUUACAGCCUCAUAGUUUGGAGAUGCCCAAUAAGGGACGAUCUAGUUGUACUCCAAAGCGUUUGGGUCGCAGGAGGUGCACGAUCCUCCUAGGAGAAGAUGGAAAUUGGAAAGUGAAAUCCAAAACCAAAUUCAAUUUUCCACCGUCGGUCGACAUGUGCUGAAUUGAAUUUUCUUAAUAAUAUUGUUAGUUGCAUGUAGUUUGGCAAGCAUGUGUUCAUUGUUGCAAGUUUCUUAUUAAUCUCAAGAAAUUAAUUGGGAAUAAAUUAAUUUUUGACAGUCUAAUUUACCUGAUGAUAAUUUAAAAUGUAGUGCAGGACCUGGCUGGGGUAGUAUAUAUAUUAAUUAAUUUUCAGUUAAUAACUUCAAGACGAUAUCCCACUUACAUGCAAAAGCUUCUCAACUGCAAAGUUUUCAUAAUUUUUGUUUGUGCUUACAGAUUAAUUAAAAAAAAGCAUCGAUCGAUCCUCUACCAAAAAGAGAAAACAAUAAAAAUCUAGAUAUAUAAAUUGAAUUCUGACUCUAAAUAUGUAAAUUGAUUUAAAGGUCCAUGUUUGACUUAGAAGUUGGCGGUUUCAGAAGUUUAGAUACUGGGACAAACUUUCGUAACCACUUAAUUUACAAACCUAGCAAGUUUAUAUUUAAAUGUAAAUUUGAGUACAUCGAGGAUUAGGGUUAUCCCAUGAAAAAGAUAAGAAAAGGAUUAGACAGAAGAGACUACUGGAGAUGUCAAGAAAGUGAAAUUCCACUAACCAAUGGUCCACUCUAUUGCAUGGUUUUCCAAUAUAAAAUUAGAUUUUGGGACAAUAUUGACUUCACUAGAUUGGGACAACAGCGACCCAUGAUUGACAUGGAGCUAAUAUUUUGUAAAAGAUUUGUUAGCAGGAAUGGUAAAACCAAGACCAAUGAGCACGAAAGGUUCGUCAUAGAUAUGUUUAUGCCGGAUUCCGGUCAUUUAAUGCAUUAGGGUUGGUUAACACGCAAUAUCAUCUUCAUGUAUUAUCUACAAGUUUGGCACAAUUAAUGGGUAAGUCACAAUAUGUUUAUUUAGCUGAAUAAGAAUGACAGAAUGAUGGAGAGGAGAGAGAGAGAGAGAGAGAGAGAGGCGAGCCUUGGAUGGAAGGGAUGAUCGAUGUAUAAUCUCUUAGAUCUUUUACAUUGGUUUAUGCAAGUGUGAUACUUAUAUAUAGAAAUCAGAUAACUUGAGUUUAAGUCCAAUAUAUUGAUAUCACUCAUGAGUUUCAUAUAUCACUUUCAUAUAUCCACACACCUAUUUUACCUCCUCACCACCCUUAAUAUAUUAAACUCACGAGUUCAAUAUAUUGUCAUCACACUUAAAUUUUUUAGCCCACUAUAAAAAUGUAAUUCCUAUAUAAGUUUAAUAUACUGGUAGUCACUUUUUCCGACCUAGACAUUAGGGCAACAAUGGCCAUAGUUUUUAUAGCCUCAUAGGAACCCUAAACCCUGUAAUUACUAUAGUAGUAUUAUUCUUCGGGAUUUCUUGUUAGUAACUGCUAGUAUCAUUGGAGUAAUACAGUACAUGAUGUCUUUUUUUUUUUUUUUGGUAAACACAGUACUUGACGUCACAUAGCUCUCAUAGCAAACAUAAAUUUACACCGAGUCUUAAACUAUUUGGUAGAAAUUCCGUCCGUUUAUUGAUGAUAUAUACAUGGUUUAUUAUGCCCUUAUCAUUCUAACUGUUAUAUUUCAUUUGAAAUGUGAUAUGGAAGUAGUUUGAAGUUUGUUUUUGUUACUAAUUCACUCCUAAUAUGAAGCAAGAACUUGUAGAUCAUGUAGUUGAUUAAGAGUGUCAUUCAUGCACUCGAGGUCUUGCGUUGGAAUCUCAACUCUUCCAAUAUUCUUUUCGUUUUCGUUUGUUUGCAGAGGUUUUCAAUACACCAUUCAAAUUAUAACACAUAUAGUUCUUUUAAAGUGUGACACUGUGACUCAUCAACUCUUUCAUCCACCCAUAUUGUGAAAUGAUAAAUCAGGUAAAAAGUGUUGAUAUAUACCCGUAAAAGUUCUCCGUUUGGGUAUAUGGAGCUAUCCUAGUAUUCCGGCUCUAAAUAUAUAAAUUGAAUUAAAGGUCCAAGUUUGACAUAGAUGUUGGGGAUUUUCCAGAAAGAACUAAAGUUAGAAUGUAAAUUAAACUUUAGGUUUAUGAAAAGGAAAAUGCUAGGAUGAUCAUUGAUCAUCUUUUGUAAUCAUAUGAUGUGGUUGUUGUAAUAACAUGAUGUGGCUGUUGAUGAUUCAAAUGAGUCAUGUUUUAAAGAAGGAAAAAUUAGUAUCCGGUUCUUAGUUACUAAUGUUCAUUGAUUGAAACCUUAUUAGUUUUCAGAUUUUGAUCAAAGGCCCUAACAUUAAUGCAAUAAUGAAUUUAGAUGUUAGUUACAUAAUUUUUAAAAUAAAAAUUAAUAAUUGAUUUAGGAUUUUAAUACUCACACCUUUAUUAAACUCCUAACUAAUUUUCAAUUCAAAACAUUUCCCAAAAAAAAAAAAUUAGAAUAAGUUAUACCCCUUAAUAUAAAAGGUUUCCAAUUUUUUAAUCUUAUAUGUACCCAUUCAUGUAAUUUUUCAACUUUUUAAUCUUAAAAUGUACCCCUUUUUUUAUAUAAAAUCUAUUCAAUUUUUUUUCUAAUCCAUUUUUAAACUUAAAUGGGUAAUUCUUUUUCUUGAUUUGAGAAUGUAUCCGUGUCAAAUUUAAUCAAAGAAAUUUAGUAAUGUUAUUAAGCCUAUAUCUAUUUUUUUUGUGUGGUUUGAAGAAUGUCCCAUAUUUGGUACAAUAAUUUUAUUAUUAAUUUGAUGAAUGUACCCAUGUUUAUAUACAUACACACACAAUAUAUUUGAGAGUAUAAUUUAUAUUUUAAUAAUGUUAAUCCACAAAUUAUGGGUUUUAUUUAUUUAUUUAAAAUAUCAUUAAUACAAACAACUAUAAAUUUCAAUUUAAAAAAUAAAAAAUAUAAUUUGUAAAAGAAGAAAAAUUGAAAACCAGCAACUUUUAGAUCACAUCCAAAACUUUAAAGGAAACGCAAAAGUUACACACUAAAAAGCUAUUUUAAGAAGAGUAGGGGAAUUUGCAAGAUUAACACAGAACUAGAUGCAACUUUUCGUGGUUACAACCCUAACAAGUUUAAAUAUUAAUAAAAAUUGAAUAAAGGAUUAGACACUGGAGGAAAGGGAGCGAGAGCUCUUUUCUGUAGAUGCCAGAGAAAGACGAAAGGUUGCACCCCAUGACGUUCCCAAUUAUUUUUCAGGUAUCCGCAGCAUCUUCAAAAUCUUAUCUAAUCCAAAUUUAAGGAAAAGGAAAGUUCAAAAGAUAAAUCUCAAAUGUUAAUUUGGCAGGUGACGUAGCAAUGUUAAAUUUUCUUUUUUUUUAACCGAUAUGUUUUUAAUGUUAUAAAUGAUAUUUGUAGGACCAAUUUUAAAAAGAAAUCAAUUAAAAUAAAUUUUCAAGAUCUAUAAUUGAUACAUUAAUGAGUCCACACAACAUAAUAAUUAAAAAUUAUUUGACAUCACAUUUUCUCAUAUGUCAAAUUUGGCAUAUGAAAACUCACAUAAGAUUGACAUAUUAGUUGGAACUUGCUUAUACCUUCAAAUUUGAUUACAUGACAUUUCACUUAAGAUUUGACAUCUCAUUUGGAAAUACCUGUCUGUUAACACACCCAACUUACUUUGCCCCUUAUAAUUAACCGGUCGAAUCUACAUUAACGAAAUAUAUUCUCUACCCGUAUAAAAUGAAAUUAACUUGCAAAGUUAGCACGCCGGCCCUAUUUGCCUUUGCUUGACUAACUAACCGAACGCACAUAUAUGCACCCAUAUUGAGCAUCUAAAACUAGGCUCAUAAUCAAAAUGAAAACGGGAUGAAAUCAUAUUUUCGUUCAUUCGAUCGUUUGAGAAUCACAAUAUCAGUUCGCAGGUCCAAACCGAGUUAACAUUUCGAGUUGAAAUUAGCACCUAGCUGAGUAGCGAUCGCCACUAAACUCGCGGAAGUUGAAGAACACGAACAAAAAGUUAAACAAGAAACGAAGAUGAAGAAGAAAAACGAAGAAACAAUUAGUUAUGGGAGCAUAAAAUCAACAUAAAACAUGGAAGAAAAUUGCCCAAGAUGAUGAGAUCACACAAAAAUCAGCUCAACUCAAUAUACAAGCGGGCAAUCCCUCUUCACAUGAAAGAAAACAAGUAACUUUUUCUCACUGUUCGUUGGAAAAAUCGCAAUAGCUACCAAGACGCAGACAGUAAAAACUGUACAGUGUACUAUACAGGAAAGUAUGAGGCUUUACUCUUCGGUAAAUGCUUCGCAACGGUUCUUUCGUG
RNAcentral lists this long non-coding RNA (39969 nucleotides) under Malus domestica (apple). RNAcentral describes it as "long non-coding RNA (MDOM_LNC001341)". The record is from RNAcentral. Lineage: Eukaryota; Viridiplantae; Streptophyta; Magnoliopsida; Rosales; Rosaceae.